ACACAGCCUACAGGUCAUCCUCAUUUUGAAGAAUCUCCGCUGCAAUAGGUUACAAGGUUUUAUAUAGCGCAAGGCGCACCAGUUACAUAGGGUCUAAAUUCUAGAACCAUGGCGUAAGGCUCAGAAGCAAACCACACUGUCUGUGUAUGAGAAGGAAUAAAUUGGUUACAAUUUUGACAUCUACCUGACUUGGCUAAAGUUAGUGCCAGUAGUUGGCUAAUACGUAAAGCGACCAAAAGAUGAACAGAUCUUGAAGGCUUUACUUGCUGCUCAUGCUUUACUUCAACGGUUAACUCAAUCGUUCAUCUAUACGUUUCAACCAAUUUAUUUUCCAAUCCAUCUCUCUUGGCAAUUAAGGAACUGAGGGGUUUGUCUAACUUCUGUUGUCCAAGAGCUUUUGGGUGAUAAGAAAUGAUCUUCAGGACCUCUUAUGUCUGCCCCACGCAGACCACGCGCAGACGUUUGAGUCUGCAGUGUGUUUGUUUUCUCGAAGACCUUUCAUUAAAAAAGGUCUGCGCGACCUCUUUUUCAUGCAGACAUGGAUCAAGCUCUUCAUACCUCUUCUGCUCUUUUUUUCUCCCAGAUGCAACAAACACUGCCCUAGUUCCUUCUCCCCUCCUCCUACGUAGCCGACCACCCCUCCUCUUCCUCCACACCACCGGCCGCCCAUCCUCCUCCUCUACACCGCCGACCUCCUCCUUCCUCUCUGCCGGCCACCCUUCCUCCUCUACACCACCGGCCACCCCUCCUCCUCCUCCUCCUCCUCCUCCUUCACACCGCCGACCUCCUCCUCCCUCUCUGCCGACCACCCCUCCUCCUCCUUCCUCUGCGGUUACUCGGAGAACGUUGGAGAUCAUGUUACUCAUCCAAUCAGGAUCUUGCAAGAUCUCAGUCUUGAGUUUGAUGAUAUGAAUACGGAGUAUAAAAAAGGUUCUGUCUAGAUGUCCUCUCUUGGUUGGUCUGGUGGGUAAGCGGUCAAAAAUCAAAACGGGUUGAAUUAAGUGCAGCUGAAAAUAGGUCGGAUCGGGUUGCAACUUGAUGUUUGUUUGAAACUUGUAUGUGGUUAAAACUUGAUGUAAAUUCACAUGUCGACUAGUGUUUGUUUGAAACUUGUAUGUGGUUAAAACUUGAUGUUUGUUUGAAACUUGUAUGUGGUUAAAACUUGAUGUAAAUUCAUAUGCAAAGCAUGGAUUCAAUGAUUUAAAAAAAGUGUUAUUGUUUUUUUAUAAAUAUUAUUUCAGUAUUGUAUAACUAUUACUUAUGUUUGAAUGUUAAAAAAACUCUUUAAAGUUAAAUAAAAUCAGUUUAUUUA
RNA transcript from Helianthus annuus (common sunflower), 1312 nucleotides. It is a transcript of the gene named leucine-rich repeat extensin-like protein 3, with no coding region annotated. The record is from RefSeq and is a predicted model, not a curated record. Lineage: Eukaryota; Viridiplantae; Streptophyta; Magnoliopsida; Asterales; Asteraceae. The transcript has 6 exons.